GCCCUCCCCCUAACGCAGAUUCCAGGGUAUCCGAGAGAGAAACGCUUGAAUCCCUCUAGCUGCGUGCAAGCAGAAGAGCGCGAAAUUUAUGCAAAGACAACCCAGACCCCAGAGGUGAAAAGAGCCGCCGAGGUCACCCUUACCCCCUUCGAGUUCCUGCGGGUGUUCAGUUGGCCGGUGAAAAGACUGAGACGGUGCCACCGAUUGUUGCUGGCUGGGCAGCUAGGUUGUCAGCUUGGAUCCUGGCCUUUCCCCCAGUGCAGCCAGGUGGAGCAUACCAGCUUGGAGACCCAGUCAGUCUGAAUUCUAAUCCUGCCUCCACCCUGCAGUGACUUAGAUGAGUAAAACUUCACUUGUGUCUCAGUUUCUUCAUCUGGUAUCAGGAAAACAGCUAAGAAGCAACCAGGAAGCAGAUUGACUCAGCAUAGGAAACAAACAGACCCUCACGGAGGUCCAGGGAACUUUCUUGCCUUUGCUCUGUCCCACCCCCAAGCCUGGGAUUGAGAUGAAGAUUCUCCUGCUUCCUGUAGGACCUUGGUAUCUUUAGUCCUGUAAAGGUGGCAGGAAUCCCCAGACAGCCCAGCCCACCCUGGGAGCCCUGCCUCUGCACAGCGUGGGGCUGGAAAGUUCUGACUCGGUCACCACCUGCUAUAACCACAAACCCCGAACUUGCCCAAGCCUCCAAACCAGCAAGAUGACGUGGCUUAGCCUGGAAGGUGGUGGUGGCCUCUGAGUGCCAGGCGCCCAGCAGGGCAGGGAGGAGCACUUGGCAGCCUGUGGACAAGCCUGCGGCCUCCACCCUGUGGGGCUACUCAACAUCCACGGUCCCUCUGUGUGUGUGUGUGUGUGUGUGCCAGAGGUCAACAUCAGGUGUCUUUCUCAAUUCCUGUCCACUGAACCUGGAGCUUGAUAGUUCAGCUCAGCUGCUGGCCAGUAAGCUACAGGAUUCUCUUGUCUCCUCCUGACCAGUGCUGGAAUCACAGGCAUGUGUGCUGUGUCCAGUUUUUUUUAUGUGGUGCUCAGGAUCCAAAGCCAGGUUCUCAUGCAUGCAUGACUAUGCCCCUCAACUACCACAGGCCUUAGAGCUAGAAGAUAUCUGAAGUCCCCCCAACCAGUGGGUUUUGCAUUCUGGAACCAGGAGAGGUGGGGUGGGAUUGGUAGUUUGUGUAUUAGUAAACACCUUGAUGGGAAUACCUUUCAGCCCAGUGCCACACCCUCAGAAGACACAUGAAGAAGGGGACCCAGGAGGGGACAAGGCUGAUGUGUGCCGACAUAGUAAACUGGAUGAAAACCCAGAUGUUUAGACUUUGGUACAGGGUGGUCUUUUUGUCAGCUAUCUUUUUUUGAGACAAGGUUUCUCAGGGUUCCUAUAGCCCUGGCUGUUGGUGAACUGGCUCCGUAGACCAGGCUGGGCUGGAAUUCAGACAUCUGCCUGCUUCUGGCCUCACAAGUGCUAGGAUUAAAAGUGUGUGCCACCACCUCUCAGCUUUUUGUUUGUUUAUAUUUUGUCCCAUCUCCAACCCUCCCCACCCCCCCGUUCCUGGUGCCCUGUCCCCAAGACAAAGUCUUACUAUGUUGCUCUGGCUGGCCUUGAACUCACUCUGCACACCUGGGUUGGCCUCAAAAUCACAGAGAUCCACCUGCCUCUGCCUCCCAAGUUCUGAGAUUAAAGGCAUGUGC
This is a long non-coding RNA of Grammomys surdaster, 1680 nucleotides long. RefSeq lists it as uncharacterized. The transcript has 3 exons. Lineage: Eukaryota; Metazoa; Chordata; Mammalia; Rodentia; Muridae. The record is from RefSeq and is a predicted model, not a curated record.